GCGCCGGUGGUGUAAAGGCGUAGAGCAUUCCCGCCCGGUUAGACGGAGGUGCGGGUUCGAGUCCCGCCUGGCGCU
Molecule: non-coding RNA, 75 nt
Organism: Heligmosomoides polygyrus
Lineage: Eukaryota; Metazoa; Nematoda; Chromadorea; Rhabditida; Heligmosomidae
Source: Rfam